AAGAGGAGGGGCGGUUGGAGGGAGAGAAAUGUCGGCAAAGGCAGAGAAAUUUGGCAAAGUGAAGUUUAAUGGCUUUUAGUAGAAGCUCAUCUUCACACACCAUGGGCAAAAAGCGCAGGUGAAACGAGUGUCCAAAGAUGUAGAUAUGGAAAUGAAGUUAUAGUCCUCACUUCAUGAAUAAAACAAAAUUAUAAUAGAUUUCUUAAAUGUCCAAAUUCAAGGUUAGCGAGUGACAUGUUUAUUUUU
Molecule: long non-coding RNA, 246 nt
Organism: Neltuma alba
Lineage: Eukaryota; Viridiplantae; Streptophyta; Magnoliopsida; Fabales; Fabaceae
Exons: 2
Source: RefSeq, a predicted model, not a curated record